RNAcentral lists this ribosomal RNA (253 nucleotides) under uncultured bacterium. RNAcentral's name for it is "partial 16S ribosomal RNA". It matches the Rfam family "Bacterial small subunit ribosomal RNA", at positions 524 to 776 of the family's 1533-position model. The record is from RNAcentral.
UACGUAGGGUGCGAGCGUUGUCCGGAAUUAUUGGGCGUAAAGGGCUCGUAGGCGGUUUGUUGCGUCGGAAGUGAAAACUCAGGGCUUAACCCUGAGCCUGCUUCCGAUACGGGCAGACUAGAGGUAUGCAGGGGAGAACGGAAUUCCUGGUGUAGCGGUGAAAUGCGCAGAUAUCAGGAGGAACACCGGUGGCGAAGGCGGUUCUCUGGGCAUUACCUGACGCUGAGGAGCGAAAGCGUGGGGAGCGAACAGG